Molecule: non-coding RNA, 31 nt
Filed under: Mus musculus (house mouse)
Lineage: Eukaryota; Metazoa; Chordata; Mammalia; Rodentia; Muridae
Source: RNAcentral
UGCAUUGGUGACAGAAACACUGUUUAGGACA